Molecule: long non-coding RNA, 637 nt
Organism: Herpailurus yagouaroundi (jaguarundi)
Lineage: Eukaryota; Metazoa; Chordata; Mammalia; Carnivora; Felidae
Exons: 3
Source: RefSeq, a predicted model, not a curated record
GGAGGGGGGAGGAGGAGUCACGAGGAGGGUGGCCCGGCCGGCCGAGCCCUCUGCCCUCCGCCCUAGCUAGCACCCCGGUCCUGGCCAGCCACGCGCGGUACUCCUCGCCGCUCCCCUGCCUUCUUAGGAGCUCUGGAGGCCAUCGCAACGGGAGAUGCUCUCUGGGCAUUUGAGGAAAGAACUAGUUGUGCUCCUACAAUGGUACUCGCCCGACCAGUAUUUAUUGAUGCCCGCGAUGCCCUGGGGGGACAAGGGACACAAAACUGAGACCGACUCGGACCCUGCCCGCCCUCAAGUUGCUCGAAGAUUGAUAGAGAUCGGAUCUCUGCGACUUGUUCCUUGGUCCUGAUAGUGACGCUCAACAGCUCAGGUGACCGCUCUGCUCCACAGCAACUCUCCUCACUGACCCCAGGCGCUCACUCUCCUUUCUGUGCUCACAACUUUACCUCACAUUUUCAGCUUCCCACGGACAAAAAUAGUAUAGAGAUAUUCGUCAUUUUUGAGAUCAGGAAAUAAAAAUAAAGAUGAAAGAUGAAAGAAAAAUUCUGGUGCCAAGAAGGAAGAUAAGUGCUCCGCGAAUAUUGAUAAAUGAAGAUACCAUGAUUCCCAAAUACCAGUUAUCGUUUAAAAGAAAAAA